UACUUCACAUAGGAACACAAAUUUAUUCACACAGGGAACAAAUGUCGUUACAUUUUCUACUUUUGCCGGGAAAUAGAUGAACUACGAAGAAGCCUAUCUCUCUCACUUGAGUAAAUGGUUCAUACAAAAUGUUCUAGUGUGAUCUAUCUAAACAACAACAGCAGGAACAAAUUUCACAAUGCGUCCAUGUACACUUUUGAAGAUGAGUUGCACUAGCAUUAAUCAAGUUGGCCUGUUGAAAAUCAAACACAAUGGACCGCAGCCAUGUUAAUUACUGCUGAAAAUUGUCGGCCAUACAAAUUACUACAGAAACUGGUCAAAAACAGUUGACCGUGUGCAGCCAUACUAACUUAUAUUUUGUGGAAUAAACACAGGCAGCUUAGAGGCAUACUUUUUGUUCUUACUGAUGACCUAUAGAGCAUGUAGGGAAAGAUCUAGGGGAAGGACUAAUCAAUAUUGAGCUUGAGCGACCAUCUCAACAAUAAAUCCAAAAGAGGCAGCAGCAUAUAUCAUGCUACACUGCACCUCAAGGGAGAUCGAAUCCCCAUGUUGAAUAGUAUCCCAGCAACAGCAAGAUCACCCACCCGUUCAAAGACCGACUAUCUUUCCUCGUGAAUGGCGACAAGCACCAGGAUCAACACCUACAGGAAAGAGUAGAUAUUCAGAAGCAUAACAACAACUUCAGCUUCAUAGCUCAACCCAUGGACCGCAAUUUGAAAUCAAAACAACUGUGUUUAUGGCUUCAAAGAUAUCUUCAAGCAAGACCCUUGAAAUGGAAGUGAACCAAGUAGUAGUAACGCUCCAACACCCCACCAACGCCAAACAAUUCCUAACCUAUUUAGUACUGGCCCAAAACCUAUUUUGUAAUUUUUUUCUCUAUUCAUUAUUUAUCAGUAAGAUGAAUUCUUCCCAAAAUCCAAUGAUUGAACUCUCUAGACUAUAAUCUUUUAACUUCCAGAUUACUUUAAAAAAUACGUACUUCUUUAGAUGAAUGUAAACGGAGAAGUUCGCACUUACUGUUUGCUGGUAUUGCAUAAAAUUCUGUUUUUUUAGUGGACACUUACAAGACGUGGAGCAUCAGACAAAAAAUGCCAAUGGUUAGUGGCAGCUUGAAAUAAAACAAGAAACAAACAUGGGGAUGAAGAUUUUAUUGUUGGUGCUUCAUACGAAUGAAACCACCUGCUCCUUGAAUUACUUCAUCAACACGAGAACACAUUGGACUUGGCUGCGCCCUUCCUCAUCCUGUUUUUUCUAGAUUUUGGUGAAGUUCAAUUUUGGCCUCCCUAUUGUAGUACCAUAGCAGGUCAAGCAUUCAACAACCAUCUUGCUGAAAUAACAUGGGUGAAAAAUGACAAAAGGGUACAAAAUCAAAUGUACGAGGUGGAGACGAUGAACGUUGCUGCAGUAAUUUCCACAAGCUGUGGCUGUUGUACCUCCAGGGGCUGCGUACUUGAACGGGCUGCGUACUUGAACGGCCAGAGGUGGCUCCAAUGAACGCCCUUCGUGCUGCGGUUGUGGAGCCCCACCGGGAGGAGGCUGCGCGGCGGCGGUGGAGCCUCGCCUGGGCCAACCUAACUAGUCAGGGGUUCCGUCCGGACUGCUAGCAGGAGAGGGGCAUGGCGGGAGGAGAC
RNAcentral lists this long non-coding RNA (1631 nucleotides) under Triticum aestivum (bread wheat). RNAcentral's name for it is "long non-coding RNA (TAES_LNC008613)". The record is from RNAcentral. Lineage: Eukaryota; Viridiplantae; Streptophyta; Magnoliopsida; Poales; Poaceae.